AGUGAACGCUGGCGGUAGGCCUAACACAUGCAAGUCGAACGGCAGCACAGUAAGAGCUUGCUCUUACGGGUGGCGAGUGGCGGACGGGUGAGGAAUACAUCGGAAUCUACUUUUUCGUGGGGGAUAACGUAGGGAAACUUACGCUAAUACCGCAUACGACCUACGGGUGAAAGCAGGAGAUCUUGGUACCUUUCGCGAUUGAAUGAGCCGAUGUCGGAUUAGCUAGUUGGUGGGGUAAAGGCCCACCAAGGCGACGAUCCGUAGCUGGUCUGAGAGGAUGAUCAGCCACACUGGAACUGAGACACGGUCCAGACUCCUACGGGAGGCAGCAGUGGGGAAUAAUGGACAAUGGGCGCAAGCCUGAUCCAGCCAUACCGCGUGGGUGAAGAAGGCCUUCGGGUUGUAAAGCCCUUUUGUUGGGAAAGAAAAGCAGCAGGUUAAUACCCCGCUGUUCUGACGGUACCCAAAGAAUAAGCACCGGCUAACUUCGUG
RNAcentral lists this ribosomal RNA (492 nucleotides) under uncultured bacterium. Its description in RNAcentral is "partial 16S ribosomal RNA". It matches the Rfam family "Bacterial small subunit ribosomal RNA", at positions 29 to 507 of the family's 1533-position model. The record is from RNAcentral.